This 491-nucleotide ribosomal RNA is filed under the name uncultured bacterium. RNAcentral's name for it is "partial 16S ribosomal RNA". It matches the Rfam family "Bacterial small subunit ribosomal RNA", at positions 28 to 506 of the family's 1533-position model. The record is from RNAcentral.
GAUGAACGCUAGCUACAGGCUUAACACAUGCAAGUCGAGGGGAAACGACAUCGAAAGCUUGCUUUUGAUGGGCGUCGACCGGCGCACGGGUGAGUAACGCGUAUCCAACCUGCCCACCACUUGGGGAUAACCUUGCGAAAGUAAGACUAAUACCCAAUGAUAUCUCUAGAAGACAUCUGAAAGAGAUUAAAGAUUUAUCGGUGAUGGAUGGGGAUGCGUCUGAUUAGCUUGUUGGCGGGGUAACGGCCCACCAAGGCAACGAUCAGUAGGGGUUCUGAGAGGAAGGUCCCCCACACUGGAACUGGGACACGGUCCAAACGCCUACGGGAGGCAGCAGUGAGGAAGAUUGGUCAAUGGACGAGAGUCUGAACCAGCCAAGUAGCGUGCAGGAAGACGGCCCUAUGGGUUGUAAACUGCUUUUAUAAGGGAAUAAAGUGAGUCUCGUGAGACUUUUGGCAUGUACCUUAUGAAUAAGGACCGGCUAAUUCCGU